This 301-nucleotide ribosomal RNA is filed under the name uncultured bacterium. RNAcentral's name for it is "partial 16S ribosomal RNA". It matches the Rfam family "Bacterial small subunit ribosomal RNA", at positions 509 to 807 of the family's 1533-position model. The record is from RNAcentral.
CAGCAGCCGCGGUAACACGAAGGGUGCAAGCGUUAAUCGGAAUUACUGGGCGUAAAGCGUGUGUAGGUGGUUGUUUAAGUCUGUCGUGAAAGCCCUGGGCUCAACCUGGGAAUUGCGAUGAACACUGGGCGACUUGAGUGCGGUAGAGGAUAGUGGAAUUUCCGGUGUAGCAGUGAAAUGCGUAGAGAUCGGAAGGAACAUCUGUGGCGAAGGCGACUAUCUGGGCCAACACUGACACUGAGACACGAAAGCGUGGGGAGCAAACAGGAUUAGAUACCCCCGUAGUCCCUGUCUCUUAUAC